CGUUGAAGCAGCGGUGGAGGAGGAGGAUGAGGUAGCCAACACUGUUUAUAUAUAUCUAUUUUUUAUUUUUAUUGGAGUAGCCCCCAAAAUAUUGGGACAUAUAAAAAAAGACAACUCUGUUCCACAGAGUAGCUGUUGACAUUAUAGUUGCGCAAGCACUUUGUUGACUCUAGAGAACCUCGGGCCAAUCGCACAUCCCCGUGACGGCGACUUUGCAUUCGGAUGUCAUCCAUAUCAACUUUCAAUGCCAGUUUCUGCGCCUACCAUGGUGAUCACGAGUAACGGGGAAUCAGGGUUCCAUUCUGUACAGGGACCCUGAGAAACGGCUACCACAUGCAAGGAAGGCAGCAUGCGCGCAAAUGACCCACUCCCGACGCGGGAAGGUAGUGACG
RNAcentral lists this ribosomal RNA (392 nucleotides) under Pelobates cultripes (western spadefoot toad). It matches the Rfam family "Eukaryotic small subunit ribosomal RNA", at positions 79 to 472 of the family's 1831-position model. The record is from RNAcentral. Lineage: Eukaryota; Metazoa; Chordata; Amphibia; Anura; Pelobatidae.